GACGAACGCUGGCGGCGUGCCUAAUACAUGCAAGUUGAGCGCUGAAGGUUGGUACUUGUACCAACUGGAUGAGCAGCGAACGGGUGAGUAACGCGUGGGGAAUCUGCCUUUGAGCGGGGGACAACAUUUGGAAACGAAUGCUAAUACCGCAUAAAAACUUUAAACACAAGUUUUAAGUUUGAAAGAUGCAAUUGCAUCACUCAAAGAUGAUUCCGCGUUGUAUUAGCUAGUUGGUGAGGUAAAGGCUCACCAAGGCGAUGAUACAUAGCCGACCUGGGAGGGUGAUCGGCCACAUUGGGACUGAGACACGGCCCAAACUCCUACGGGAGGCAGCAGUAGGGGAUCUUCGGCAAUGGACGAAAGUCUGACCGAGCAACGCCGCGUGAGCGAAGAAGGUUUUCGGAUCGUAAAACUCUGUUGGUAGAGAAGAACGUUGGUGAGAGUGGAAAGCUCAUCAAGUGACGGUAACUACCCAGAAAGGGACGGCUAACUACGUG
Molecule: ribosomal RNA, 497 nt
Filed under: uncultured bacterium
Lineage: Bacteria
Description: partial 16S ribosomal RNA
Rfam family: Bacterial small subunit ribosomal RNA
Source: RNAcentral